UCAAGCAAAAAAGAGCGCAGGGUGGAUGCCUUGGCACUAAGAGCCGAAGAAAGACGUGAUAAGCUGCGAAAAGCUGCGGGGAGGAGCAAAUAUCCACUGAUCCGCAGAUGUCUGAAUGGGGAAACCCGCAUGAGCACACCUCAUGCAUCCAUACGCCAAUCCAUAACGUAUGGAAGGGAACCGCCUGAACUGAAACAUCUAAGUAGGGCGAGGAAGAGAAAGAAAAUUUAUCGAUUUCCAAAGUAGCGGCGAGCGAAAUGGAAAGAGGCCAAACCGGAGUGCGUGCACUCCGGGGUUCGGACCGCAUUUAAGAUUCAGUGAUUCUAGCAGAAAGGUUUUGGGAAAGCCUGCCGUAGAGGGUGAAAGCCCCGUAAGCGAAAGAGGAACUGACUGAGCGGGAUCCAGAGUACAUCGAGACACGAGAAACCUUGAUGGAAUGAGCGGGGACCACCCCGUAAGCCUAAAUACUCCUUAGUGACCGAUAGCGCAUAGUACUGUGAAGGAAAGGUGAAAAGGACCCCGGGAGGGGAGUGAAAGAGAACCUGAAACCCUGUGUUUACAAGCUGUGGGACAUCUUUACAUGAUGAACCGCGUACUUUUUGUAGAACGGUCCGGCGAGUUGCGGAUGCCGGCAAGGUUAAGCACUUAAGGUGUGGAGCCGAAGGGAAACCAAGUCUGAAGAGGGCGCAUAUAGUCAGUAUCCGCAGACCCGAAACCGGGUGAUCUACCCAUGUCCAGGUUGAAGUUGCCGUAAAAGGCAAUGGAGGACCGAACGCACAUCCGUUGAAAAGGGUGGCGAUGAGGUGUGGGUAGGGGAGAAAUUCCAAUCGAACCCGGAGAUAGCUGGUUCUCCUCGAAAUAGCUUUAGGGCUAGCCUCAUAUUAGUCUUGCGGAGGUAGAGCACUGAAUAUCCUAGGGGGCGUCAAAGCUUACCGAAGAUUAUCAAACUCCGAAUGCCGUAAAGAUGAUGUAUGGGAGUCAGACUGCACGAGAUAAGUUGGGUAGUCAAAAGGGAAAGAGCCCAGACCUACAGCUAAGGUCCCAAAGUACGUGUUAAGUGGAAAAGGAUGUGGGAUUUCGAAGACAACUAGGAUGUUGGCUCAGAAGCAGCCAUACAUUCAAAGAGUGCGUAAUAGCUCACUAGUCGAGAGGUCCUGCGCCGAAAAUGUCCGGGGCUGAAACACGACACCGAAGCUUAGGAAUCGAAAGAUUGGUAGAGGAGCAUUGAAUACGGAACGAAGCAGUACCGGAAGGAGCUGUGGACUGUAUUGAAGAGAGAAUGCCGGAAUGAGUAGCGAGAUUUAAGUGAGAAUCUUAAAGGCCGAAUAUCUAAGGUUUCCAGGGUAAAGCUGAUCUUCCCUGGGUAAGUCGGGGCCUAAGGCGAGGACGAAAGUCGUAGUCGAUGGAUAACAGGUUGAAAUUCCUGUACCGCAUAUAUUCAGAAAUGUGGGGACACAGAUGGAGAGUACAGCCCGGGAAUGGAUAGACCGGGGCAAGCGAGGUAGGAGAAUGGCAGGCAAAUCCACCAUUCAAUCUGAAGACGUGACGCGUACCGAACAAGAGUAGGGAAGUGUAUGAGCCAGCUGUCGAGAAAAGCCGCUAUUGUGAUAUAUGCGCCCGUACCGUAAACCGACACAGGUGGAUGAGGAGAGAAUCCUAAGGCCGGCGGGAGAAGUGUUGUUAAGGAACUCGGCAAAAUGACCCCGUAACUUCGGGAGAAGGGGUGCCUCGGAAGAGGCCGCAGAGAAAUGGCCCAAGCAACUGUUUAGCAAAAACAUAGGUCUAUGCAAAACCGAAAGGUGAGGUAUAUGGGCUGACGCCUGCCCGGUGCUGGAAGGUUAAGAGGAGAGCUUAGCGCAAGCGAAGGUUUGAAUUUAAGCCCCAGUAAACGGCGGCCGUAACUAUAACGGUCCUAAGGUAGCGAAAUUCCUUGUCGGGUAAGUUCCGACCCGCACGAAAGGCGUAAUGAUUUGGGCACUGUCUCAACAACACAC
This 1994-nucleotide ribosomal RNA is filed under the name metagenome. RNAcentral's name for it is "bacterial LSU rRNA". It matches the Rfam family "Bacterial large subunit ribosomal RNA", at positions 3 to 2032 of the family's 2925-position model. The record is from RNAcentral.